This 438-nucleotide ribosomal RNA is filed under the name uncultured bacterium. Its description in RNAcentral is "partial 16S ribosomal RNA". It matches the Rfam family "Bacterial small subunit ribosomal RNA", at positions 339 to 795 of the family's 1533-position model. The record is from RNAcentral.
CUACGGGAGGCUCCAGUCGGGAAUAUUCCACAAUGGACGAAAGUCUGAUGGAGCGACACCGCGUGCAGGAUGACGGCCCUCGGGUUGUAAACUGCUUUUAUUAAUUAGAAAUUUUGAUCAGUUAAUGAAUAAGUGGCGGCUAAUCACGUGCCAGAAGCCUCGGUAAAACGUGAGCCACAAGCGUUAUCCGGAAUUAUUGGGCGUAAAGCGCCCGCAGCCGGGUCAGUCAGUCGGAUGUCAAAACACAGGGCUCAACUCUGUGUCCGUAUCCGAAACUACUGAUCUAGAGCAAGUCAGAGGUGCAUGGAAUUCCUGGAGUAGGGGUGAUAUCCGUAGAUACCAGGAGGAACACCAAAAGCGAAGGCAGUGCACUGGGGCUUUGCUGACGGUCAGGGACGAAAGCGUGGGGAGCAAAAAGGAUUAGAUACCCUAGUAGUC